CCCUUAGAUGUUCUGGGCUGCACGCGCGCUACACUGAAGCUAUCAACACGUUUUCCCUCCCUGAGGAGGGCGGGUAACCUUUUGAAUCAGCUUCGUGGUAGGGAUCGGGGCUUGCAAUUGUUCCCCGUGAACCAGGAAUUCCUAGUAGACGCGAGUCAUAAGCUCGCAUCGAUUAAGUCCCUGCCCUUUGUACACACCGCCCGUCGCUACUACCGAUUGAGCGUUUUAGUGAGGCAUUUGGACCGACGCAUCUCAGUUUAACCGCUGGUUUGUGUUGGAAAGACUUCCAAACUUGAGCGUUUAGAGGAAGUAAAAGUCGUAACA
This 324-nucleotide ribosomal RNA is filed under the name uncultured eukaryote. Its description in RNAcentral is "partial 18S ribosomal RNA". It matches the Rfam family "Eukaryotic small subunit ribosomal RNA", at positions 1470 to 1796 of the family's 1831-position model. The record is from RNAcentral.